Molecule: ribosomal RNA, 424 nt
Filed under: Verrucomicrobiota bacterium
Lineage: Bacteria; Pseudomonadati; Verrucomicrobiota
Description: Verrucomicrobia bacterium partial 16S ribosomal RNA
Rfam family: Bacterial small subunit ribosomal RNA
Source: RNAcentral
UGAGGAAUAUUGGUCAAUGGACGCAAGUCUGAACCAGCCAAGUAGCGUGCAGGAUGACGGCCCUAUGGGUUGUAAACUGCUUUUAUAUGGGGAUAAAGUGCGGAACGUGUUCCCUUUUGCAGGUACCAUAUGAAUAAGGACCGGCUAAUUCCGUGCCAGCAGCCGCGGUAAUACGGAAGGUUCGGGCGUUAUCCGGAUUUAUUGGGUUUAAAGGGAGCGUAGGCCGUUUGGUAAGCGUGUUGUGAAAUGUAGGAGCUCAACUUCUAGAUUGCAGCGCGAACUGUCAGACUUGAGUGCGCACAACGUAGGCGGAAUUCAUGGUGUAGCGGUGAAAUGCUUAGAUAUCAUGAAGAACUCCGAUUGCGAAGGCAGCUUACGGGAGCGCAACUGACGCUGAAGCUCGAAGGUGCGGGUAUCGAACAGG